UUAGGAACCUGGAUGUGCAUU
This 21-nucleotide microRNA is filed under the name Zea mays. RNAcentral's name for it is "microRNA miR-3206". Lineage: Eukaryota; Viridiplantae; Streptophyta; Magnoliopsida; Poales; Poaceae. The record is from RNAcentral.